RNAcentral lists this ribosomal RNA (578 nucleotides) under uncultured bacterium. RNAcentral describes it as "partial 16S ribosomal RNA". It matches the Rfam family "Bacterial small subunit ribosomal RNA", at positions 355 to 926 of the family's 1533-position model. The record is from RNAcentral.
UGGGGAAUUUUGGACAAUGGGCGAAAGCCUGAUCCAGCAAUGCCGCGUGUGUGAAGAAGGCCUUCGGGUUGUAAAGCACUUUUGUCCGGAAAGAAAUCCUUGGCUCUAAUACAGUCGGGGGAUGACGGUACCGGAAGAAUAAGCACCGGCUAACUACGUGCCAGCAGCCGCGGUAAUACGUAGGGUGCAAGCGUUAAUCGGAAUUACUGGGCGUAAAGCGUGCGCAGGCGGUUUGCUAAGACCGAUGUGAAAUCCCCGGGCUCAACCUGGGAACUGCAUUGGUGACUGGCAGGCUAGAGUAUGGCAGAGGGGGGUAGAAUUCCACGUGUAGCAGUGAAAUGCGUAGAGAUGUGGAGGAAUACCGAUGGCGAAGGCAGCCCCCUGGGCCAAUACUGACGCUCAUGCACGAAAGCGUGGGGAGCAAACAGGAUUAGAUACCCUGGUAGUCCACGCCCUAAACGAUGUCAACUAGUUGUUGGGGAUUCAUUUCCUUAGUAACGUAGCUAACGCGUGAAGUUGACCGCCUGGGGAGUACGGUCGCAAGAUUAAAACUCAAAGGAAUUGACGGGGUCAUAGCU